RNAcentral lists this antisense RNA (505 nucleotides) under Streptomyces zinciresistens K42. Its description in RNAcentral is "Saccharopolyspora sRNA 350". It matches the Rfam family "Saccharopolyspora sRNA 350". The record is from Rfam by way of RNAcentral. Lineage: Bacteria; Bacillati; Actinomycetota; Actinomycetes; Kitasatosporales; Streptomycetaceae.
CGGGCGGUGUACUCCCAGAUGGCGUCGGGGUCGACCAGCGCGGCGUCGCCGAAGUAGGCGCCGUCCGCGAGGACGCCGAGGACCGCGUCGUCGCCGUAGGGGCCGGUGCCGAUCUUCUCGACCCUGCCGUGCGCCAGCAGGUACACCUCGCCCGUCGGGCUGCCGAAGGAGGCGAUGACCUCGCCCGCGGCGAACUCGCGCUGCCGGCAGCGCCGGGCGAGCUCGGCGAGCACCUCCUCGUCCUCGUACGACCGCAACGCGGGCAGUUCGCCCAGCUCGGCGGGGAUGACCUCGACCUGGUCGCCGGUCUUGACGAAGGUGAUGCGGCCGUCCCCGACGGCGUAGGUCAGUCGCCGGUUCACCCGGUACGUGCCGCCCUGCACGUUCACCCAGGGCAGCGUCCGCAGCAGCCAGCGGGAGCUGAUCUCCUGCAUCUGCGGCGCGGACUUGGUCGUGGUGGCCAGGUUCCGCGCGGCCGCGGUGCCGAGACUCUGCUGCGUCUUGG